GACGAACGCUGGCGGCGUGCCUAAUACAUGCAAGUCGAGCGAAUCAAUAGGAGCUUGCUCCUGUUGGUUAGCGGCGGACGGGUGAGUAACACGUGGGCAACCUGCCUGUAAGACUGGGAUAACAUCGGGAAACCGAUGCUAAUACCGGAUAAUUCAUUCCCUCUCAUGAGGGAAUGUUGAAAGUCGGUUUCGGCUGACACUUACAGAUGGGCCCGCGGCGCAUUAGCUAGUUGGUGAGGUAACGGCUCACCAAGGCGACGAUGCGUAGCCGACCUGAGAGGGUGAUCGGCCACACGGGGACUGAGACACGGCCCAGACUCCUACGGGAGGCAGCAGUAGGGGAUCUUCCACAAUGGACGAAAGUCUGAUGGAGCAACGCCGCGUGAGCGAUGAAGGCCUUCGGGUCGUAAAGCUCUGUUGUUAGGGAAGAACAUGUACCGGAGUAACUGCCGGUACCUUGACGGUACCUAACCAGAAAGCCACGGCUAACCACGUGCCAGCAGCCGCAGUAA
This 512-nucleotide ribosomal RNA is filed under the name uncultured bacterium. RNAcentral's name for it is "partial 16S ribosomal RNA". It matches the Rfam family "Bacterial small subunit ribosomal RNA", at positions 28 to 523 of the family's 1533-position model. The record is from RNAcentral.